Molecule: long non-coding RNA, 341 nt
Organism: Camelus dromedarius (Arabian camel)
Lineage: Eukaryota; Metazoa; Chordata; Mammalia; Artiodactyla; Camelidae
Exons: 4
Source: RefSeq, a predicted model, not a curated record
AGCCCUUGUUACUUUGUCAGCAAUCUCCUGGUAUGAUUUCUCAAGGAAACGUCUACAAUUUGUCCCUCUAGCUCUUUCUGAAUUCCAGUGUACAGUAUGAAAGAUGGGCGUCCUUUCCAAAGGAGCUCAGAUGCUUGUCCUAAAAGGUACUUGCCAAAGACUCCAAAUAUCACCUCUGUCUGCCACUUCAAGCACCACUGGAUCCACUGAGUCAUCUGACCCACGUGGAACAGCAACGUGCACAACAGCCAGGACCUGUUGCCGAGACUUCCCUUCUCUCACUGACCAACCAGCAUAUCAUUAUCAGUGUAACAGGCCAGCACGAUGUUCUGCGGAAGGGG